Molecule: ribosomal RNA, 598 nt
Filed under: uncultured bacterium
Lineage: Bacteria
Description: bacterial SSU rRNA
Rfam family: Bacterial small subunit ribosomal RNA
Source: RNAcentral
AGUCGAGCGGGAAGGUAGCUUGCUACCUGACCUAGCGGCGGAUGGAGAGUAAUGCUUAUGAUUCUGCCUAUUAGUGGGGGACAUCAUUCCGAGAGGAAUGCUACUACCGACUACCCCCUAGAGGGGAAAGCAGAGGCUCUCACCUUGCUGCUCAUUAGAUGAACCUCGGAUUAACUAGCUGGUGGGCGAGAGGCCUACCAAGGCGAGAAUCUGUCUCGGGUCUGAGAAGAUGAUCCCCCACCCCGGCACUGAGACACGGCCCAGACUCCUACGGGAGGCACCAGUGGGGAAUAUUGGACAAUGGCGGGGAACCCUGAUCCAGCCAUGCCGCGUGUGGUGAAGAAGGCCUUAUGGUUGUAAAGCACUUUAAGCGAGGAGGAGGCUACUGAUACUAAUACUCUUGCGAUAGUGGACGUUACUCGCAGAAUAAGCACCGGCUAACUCUGUGGCAGCAGCCGCGGUAAUACAGAAUGGUGCGAGCGUUAAUCGGAUAUUCUUGUGCGUAAAGCGUGCGCAGGCGGCUUUUUUAAUUCUGAUGUUGAAAUUCCCGAGCUUAACUUUGGGAAUUGCAUUCGAUACUGGGAAGCUAGAGUAUUGG